AGGACGAACGCUGGCGGCGUGCUUAACACAUGCAAGUCAAGGGGGGCCGCAAGGUCAACCGGCGAACGGGUGCGUAACACGUGAGCAACCUGCCUAAGUGUGGGGGAUAGCCGGCCCAACGGCCGGGUAAUACCGCAUACGAUCACUAGCCGGCAUCGGCAUGUGAUGAAACUUUCGGGGCACUUAGAGGGCUCGCGGCCUAUCAGCUUGUUGGUGGGUAUGGCCUACCAAGGCAACGACGGGUAGC
RNAcentral lists this ribosomal RNA (247 nucleotides) under uncultured soil bacterium. Its description in RNAcentral is "partial 16S ribosomal RNA". It matches the Rfam family "Bacterial small subunit ribosomal RNA", at positions 26 to 287 of the family's 1533-position model. The record is from RNAcentral.